UCCCAUGUGGUCUAGUGGUUUGGAUUCCGGGCUCACCCAGGGGCCCGGGUUCGAUUCCCGGCAUGGGAA
Molecule: transfer RNA, 69 nt
Filed under: Trichonephila inaurata madagascariensis
Lineage: Eukaryota; Metazoa; Arthropoda; Arachnida; Araneae; Nephilidae
Rfam family: tRNA
About the family: Transfer RNA (tRNA) molecules are approximately 80 nucleotides in length. Their secondary structure includes four short double-helical elements and three loops (D, anti-codon, and T loops).
Source: Rfam by way of RNAcentral